Molecule: small nuclear RNA, 62 nt
Organism: Callithrix jacchus (white-tufted-ear marmoset)
Lineage: Eukaryota; Metazoa; Chordata; Mammalia; Primates; Cebidae
Gene: U7
Rfam family: U7 small nuclear RNA
About the family: Animal histone pre-mRNAs are spliced by a different mechanism than nuclear pre-mRNAs and self-splicing introns. This processing involves the U7 snRNP, which contains only one RNA species: U7.
Source: Ensembl
UCAUGUUAUAGCUCUUUUAGAAUUCAUCUAGCAGGCUUUCCGGUUUUUACCAGAAAGCCCCC